UCGGGAAUAUUGGACAAUGGGGGCAACCCUGAUCCAGCCAUGCCGCGUGUGUGAAGAAGGCCCUAGGGUUGUAAAGCACUUUUAGUAGUGAGGAAGGCUCGGUAGUUAAUACCUGCCGGGAUUGACGUUAGCUACAGAAAAAGCACCGGCUAAUUUCGUGCCAGCAGCCGCGGUAAUACGAAAGGUGCAAGCGUUAAUCGGAAUUACUGGGCGUAAAGCGCGCGUAGGCGGCUUGGUAAGUUGGGUGUGAAAGCCCCGGGCUCAACCUGGGAACUGCAUCCAAAACUGCCUAGCUAGAGUAUGGUAGAGGAUGGCGGAAUUUCCUGUGUAGCGGUGAAAUGCGUAGAUAUAGGAAGGAACAUCAGUGGCGAAGGCGGCCAUCUGGACCAAUACUGACGCUGAGGUGCGAAAGCGUGGGGAGCAAACAGG
This 429-nucleotide ribosomal RNA is filed under the name uncultured bacterium. Its description in RNAcentral is "bacterial SSU rRNA". It matches the Rfam family "Bacterial small subunit ribosomal RNA", at positions 355 to 776 of the family's 1533-position model. The record is from RNAcentral.